This 519-nucleotide ribosomal RNA is filed under the name Rhinella hoogmoedi. RNAcentral describes it as "partial 16S ribosomal RNA". It matches the Rfam family "Bacterial large subunit ribosomal RNA", at positions 1922 to 2596 of the family's 2925-position model. The record is from RNAcentral. Lineage: Eukaryota; Metazoa; Chordata; Amphibia; Anura; Bufonidae.
GUUCAACGGCCGCGGUAUCCUAACCGUGCGAAGGUAGCGUAAUCACUUGUUCUUUAAAUGUGGACUAGUAUGAAUGGCACUACGAGGGUUAUACUGUCUCCUUUUUCUAAUCAGUGAAACUAAUUUUCCCGUGAAGAAGCGGGAAUAUAACUAUAAGACGAGAAGACCCUAUGGAGCUUUAAACAACCCAGCAAUUACUUCUAAAAUUUUAAAUUUCAGAAUAUUCAUUCUUUAAGUAGUAUGUUUGCAAGUUUUUGGUUGGGGUGACCAUGGAGAAUAACAUAACCUCCACAUUGAAUGAAUUCCCUUCUAAGCUGAAAAUCACCAAUUGAAGCAUCAACACACUGACAUCUAUUGACCCAAUAUAUUUGAUCAACGAACCAAGUUACCCUAGGGAUAACAGCGCAAUCCACUUCAAGAGCCCCUAUCGACAAGUGGGUUUACGACCUCGAUGUUGGAUCAGGGUAUCCCAGUGGCGCAGCUGCUACUAAAGGUUCGUUUGUUCAACGAUUAAAACCC